GACGAACGCUGGCGGCGUGCCUAAUACAUGCAAGUCGAACGAGAGCGACCGGUGCUUGCACUGGUCAAUCUAGUGGCGAACGGGUGAGUAACACGUGGGUAACCUGCCCAUCAGAGGGGGAUAACAUCCGGAAACGGAUGCUAAAACCGCAUAGGUCUUCGAACCGCAUGGUUUGAAGAGGAAAAGAGGCGCAAGCUUCUGCUGAUGGAUGGACCCGCGGUGCAUUAGCUAGUUGGUGAGGUAACGACUCACCAAGGCCGUGAUGCAUAGCCGGCCUGAGAGGGUGAUCGGCCACAUUGGGACUGAGACACGGCCCAAACUCCUACGGGAGGCAGCAGUAGGGAAUCUUCCGCAAUGGACGCAAGUCUGACGGAGCAACGCCGCGUGAGUGAAGAAGGUUUUCGGAUCGUAAAACUCUGUUGUUAGAGAAGAACAAGUGCUAGAGUAACUGUUAGCGCCUUGACGGUAUCUAACCAGAAAGCCACGGCUAACUACGUG
Molecule: ribosomal RNA, 498 nt
Filed under: uncultured bacterium
Lineage: Bacteria
Description: partial 16S ribosomal RNA
Rfam family: Bacterial small subunit ribosomal RNA
Source: RNAcentral